CAGUAGCCGCGGGAAUACAGAGGGUGCAAGCGUUAAUCGGAUUUACUGGGCGUAAAGAGCGCGUAGGUGGUUAUGUAAGUGAGAUGUGAAAUCCCCGGGCUCAACCUGGGAACUGCAUCUUAUACUGCGUAGCUGGAGUGCAGUAGAGGGUAGUGGAAUUUCCGGUGUAGCGGUGAAAUGCGUAGAUAUCGGAAGGAACACUAGUGGCGAAGGCGGCUACCUGGACUGACACUGACACUGAGGCGCAAAAGCGUGGGGAGCAAACAGGAUUAGAUACCCCCGUAGUCCCUGUCUCUUAUAC
This 301-nucleotide ribosomal RNA is filed under the name uncultured bacterium. RNAcentral describes it as "partial 16S ribosomal RNA". It matches the Rfam family "Bacterial small subunit ribosomal RNA", at positions 509 to 807 of the family's 1533-position model. The record is from RNAcentral.